This 539-nucleotide ribosomal RNA is filed under the name uncultured bacterium. RNAcentral's name for it is "bacterial SSU rRNA". It matches the Rfam family "Bacterial small subunit ribosomal RNA", at positions 8 to 526 of the family's 1533-position model. The record is from RNAcentral.
AGAGUUUGAUCCUGGCUCAGGACGAACGCUGGCGGCGUGCCUAAUACAUGCAAGUCGGGCGGGGUUUUGGGGAGCUUGCUCCUUAAAACCCAGCGGCGGACGGGUGAGUAACACGUGGGCAACCUGCCCGCAAGACCGGGAUAACUCCGGGAAACCGGGGCUAAUACCGGAUAGGACUCCGGAUCGCAUGAUCCGGGGUGGAAAGGUGGCCUUCGGCUGCCGCUUGCGGAUGGGCCCGCGGCGCAUUAGCUAGGUGGUGAGGUAACGGCUCACCAAGGUGACGAUGCGUAGCCGACCUGAGAGGGUGACCGGCCACACUGGGACUGAGACACGGCCCAGACUCCUACGGGAGGCAGCAGUAGGGAAUUUUCCGCAAUGGGCGAAAGCCUGACGGAGCAACGCCGCGUGAGCGAGGACGGCCUUCGGGUUGUAAAGCUCUGUUCUUCGGGAAGAAUGGCGGGAGGGUGAAUAGCUCUCUCGUUUGACGGUACCGAAGGAGAAAGCCCCGGCUAACUACGUGCCAGCAGCCGCGGUAAUAC